GGCUCAGGAUGAACGCUGGCGGCGUGCCUAAUACAUGCAAGUCGAGCGAGAAUCAGCAGAUCGGAGAUCGUCAAAGAGAAGCUGAGGAAAGCGGCGGACGGGUGAGUAACGCGUAGGCAACCUGCCCUUAGCAGAGGGAUAGCCAUUGGAAACGAUGAUUAAAACCUCAUAAUGCUGUAUUUACACAUGUAGAGACAGCCAAAGAUUUAUCGGCUAGGGAUGGGCCUGCGUCUGAUUAACUAGUUGGUGAGGUAACGGCUCACCAAGGUGACGAUCAGUAGCCGACCUGAGAGGGUGAUCGGCCACAUUGGAACUGAGACACGGUCCAAACUUCUACGGAAGGCAGCAGUAAGGAAUCUUGCACAAUGGGGGAAACCCUGAUGCAGCAACGCCGCGUGAACGAUGAAGGCCUUAGGGUUGUAAAGUUCUGAUCUGUGGGAAGAAGAAGUGACGGUACCACAGGAGAAAGCCCCGGCUAAAUACGUGCCAGCCGCAGC
This 497-nucleotide ribosomal RNA is filed under the name uncultured bacterium. Its description in RNAcentral is "bacterial SSU rRNA". It matches the Rfam family "Bacterial small subunit ribosomal RNA", at positions 21 to 518 of the family's 1533-position model. The record is from RNAcentral.